RNAcentral lists this long non-coding RNA (332 nucleotides) under Gossypium barbadense (sea-island cotton). RNAcentral describes it as "long non-coding RNA (GBAR_LNC022514)". Lineage: Eukaryota; Viridiplantae; Streptophyta; Magnoliopsida; Malvales; Malvaceae. The record is from RNAcentral.
GUAGCAACAACAUACAUCUUUGUUUUUUUAUUAUUAAGAAAGUAAAACAGUACAGUACAGGCUGAGAAAAUCCCUGCAUUUCAUAAAGAGGGACAAAAACAUAGCAAUGAGACAAUCCUAAAAAAUCCACCUCCAACAAAUCCCUUCAUUUUGAGCAAGAUCAACAACAAAUUACCAGGAAGCUAAAUAUAAAGAUGAUCUUUCCAUGCCUGUUUUAGCCAAGGUAUCAGCUAAACAGUUUGCUUCACUAACAACAAACACAAAGGAUAAAUCAAUGAUAGCUCCUCAAUCUCUUGGCAAAUACAUGGGAAAUCCAUUUAAGAGCAUUUGAA